ACGAACGCUGGCGGCGUGCUUUACACAUGCAAGUCGAGCGGUAAGGCCCUUUCGGGGGUACACGAGCGGCGAACGGGUGAGUAACACGUGAGUAAUCUGCCCUUCACUUGGGGAUAAGCACCGGAAACGGUGUCUAAUACCCGAUACGACACAGUCCUGCAUGGGAUCUGUGUGGAAAGUUUUUUCGGUGGGGGAUGUGCUCGCGGCCUAUCAGCUUGUUGGUGGGGUAAUGGCCUACCAAGGCUUCGACGGGUAGCCG
RNAcentral lists this ribosomal RNA (259 nucleotides) under Nocardioides sp. ISO509_OTU515. RNAcentral's name for it is "partial 16S ribosomal RNA". It matches the Rfam family "Bacterial small subunit ribosomal RNA", at positions 29 to 289 of the family's 1533-position model. Lineage: Bacteria; Bacillati; Actinomycetota; Actinomycetes; Propionibacteriales; Nocardioidaceae. The record is from RNAcentral.